Molecule: long non-coding RNA, 921 nt
Filed under: Salvia miltiorrhiza (redroot sage)
Lineage: Eukaryota; Viridiplantae; Streptophyta; Magnoliopsida; Lamiales; Lamiaceae
Description: long non-coding RNA (SMIL_LNC004747)
Source: RNAcentral
AACAGAGAGAAUAAUUACACUUUUUUAUGAUGAAACGGCUCACGUAAGAUUCUCUCAUCCCUUUUUUACAAGCGUAAUGCUCUAGAUAGGCCAUUUACACUCCACAUAAUAAUUUAUUUAAAAAAAAUAAGAUUUGUUACACUCAAAGAAAAGAAAAAUACACUCACACUCUAACUUUCUAGGUGAUUCGAACUCCCCAUAUAUUGGUUAAAAUUUUAGAGGAGAGAAAAAAAACACUCACACUCUAGCCUUCUAGGUGACUCGAACCCCCGAUCUAUUGGUUAGAGCCUUAGAGGAAAGCGUCCCACCAACAUAUUUAUUUCUUAAACAAUUAGAAGUAAUAUUCAUUAAGAAUAGAAAAAUAAAGCAUCCGUCCUACUUGAAAUUGAUAAGUAGAGGCUAAUAAUUGAAUUUUGUUAAUUUUGGAGGCGGCGGCUAGGGUUAGGCCUUUAUUAGGUGGUGAUGAAAGAUUUUUCAAACAUUACGGCGAUAACCGUGCUAAAAUAUAAAGGCCCACAAUCUCACUUUUAUAAAGCCGCCGAUGCCCCCAAACGGCCGAACCCACUCUCUUCACCAUAUUAUUAUUUUUAUUUCGUUUUGUUUAUAUGAAGAAAUUAUGUCAUGUAAUUAAGGUGAACCAUUGGUAAAUUUAUUUCAUAUAAAAGAGAUGAAAAAACUUAAUCGAGGUACCACAUUUUUGUUUAUGCUUGUUUUUCACAAUUAUAUUACCUAUCUCAAAAUUAAGGUGAUUGUAGUAUAAUUUACACGAUGUCAACGAAACUUGAAUUAAUGACGGUUUAUGCGAGGCAGACUUUGAUACUUCAACUUUGUUGAUUGUAGUAAGCCUCCUCGGCGGUGAGGAAACUAUCAUAAAAAAGCAAGUUAAUAUGUUUGACAAUUCAUGCCUAAAUCAAGAAAAAU